UGGCUCCUCUGGAGGACCAAAGCCGAUGAGAUGGAGGAGAGGGAAGAGUCUUCACCCUGCCUUGAGUCCCCGAAAUAUGGAUGAGACCAUGACACAGUUGCCUAACUCAACCCUACCAGGCCUCUCUUCCAUGUUGAGGCAGCGGGCCCAUUGUAUGAAGCACAUGCCAACGGACAUGAACCAAGGGUGGAAGAGGAGGUUGGGAGAAACAAAGUGAUUUGGCCUGGCUCGUCGGUGGUACAGCCUUUUACUGAAGAACUCCAAGAGGUUUUCCCCCUGGGGGUGGUCUGCAGCACUCCCAGAAUGGCUGCCCUGGCCAGGGCAGGCUGUGCCCCCGUGGGAUGCCCAGGAUGCUCCAG
RNAcentral lists this long non-coding RNA (359 nucleotides) under Phascolarctos cinereus (koala). RNAcentral describes it as "lncRNA (ENSPCIG00000005266.2)". Lineage: Eukaryota; Metazoa; Chordata; Mammalia; Diprotodontia; Phascolarctidae. The record is from RNAcentral.